AGUGAACGCUGGCGGUAGGCCUGACACAUGCAAGUCGAACGGCAGCACAGUAAGAGCUUGCUCUUACGGGUGGCGAGUGGCGGACGGGUGAGGAAUACAUCGGAAUCUACUUUUUCGUGGGGGAUAACGUAGGGAAACUUACGCUAAUACCGCAUACGACCUACGGGUGAAAGCAGGGGAUCUUCGGACCUUGCGCGAUUGAAUGAGCCGAUGUCGGAUUAGCUAGUUGGCGGGGUAAAGGCCCACCAAGGCGACGAUCCGUAGCUGGUCUGAGAGGAUGAUCAGCCACACUGGAACUGAGACACGGUCCAGACUCCUACGGGAGGCAGCAGUGGGGAAUAUUGGACAAUGGGCGCAAGCCUGAUCCAGCCAUACCGCGUGGGUGAAGAAGGCCUUCGGGUUGUAAAGCCCUUUUGUUGGGAAAGAAAAGCAGCAGGUUAAUACCCCGCUGUUCUGACGGUACCCAAAGAAUAAGCACCGGCCAACUUCGUG
This 492-nucleotide ribosomal RNA is filed under the name uncultured bacterium. RNAcentral describes it as "partial 16S ribosomal RNA". It matches the Rfam family "Bacterial small subunit ribosomal RNA", at positions 29 to 507 of the family's 1533-position model. The record is from RNAcentral.